UGCCCAGCAACUCCUAUCCCUACCUCCUCGUGGUACUGGCCGGGGUACGAGUAACCUUGGGGAAGAUCGGGUAACCAACCCCCGGUGAAAACUUUGGUCGUAUGCUGACAGGGAAGG
Molecule: ribozyme, 117 nt
Filed under: Aedes aegypti (yellow fever mosquito)
Lineage: Eukaryota; Metazoa; Arthropoda; Insecta; Diptera; Culicidae
Description: drz-agam-1 ribozyme
Rfam family: drz-agam-1 ribozyme
Source: Rfam by way of RNAcentral